Molecule: unclassified non-coding RNA, 586 nt
Filed under: Rosellinia limonispora
Lineage: Eukaryota; Fungi; Ascomycota; Sordariomycetes; Xylariales; Xylariaceae
Description: sequence contains 28S rRNA gene
Rfam family: Eukaryotic large subunit ribosomal RNA
Source: RNAcentral
CAGAGACCGAUAGCGCACAAGUAGAGUGAUCGAAAGAUGAAAAGCACUUUGAAAAGAGGGUUAAAUAGCACGUGAAAUUGUUGAAAGGGAAGCGUUUGCGACCAGACCUCUCCCCGGCGGAUCAUCCGGCGUUCUCGCCGGUGCACUCCGCCGGGCUGAGGCCAGCAUCGGUUCCCGCGGGGGGACAAAAGCGGGGGGAACGUAGCUCCCUCGGGAGUGUUAUAGCCCUCCGCAUAAUACCCUCGCGGGGACCGAGGACCGCGCUUCGGCAAGGAUGCUGGCGUAAUGGUCGUCAACGACCCGUCUUGAAACACGGACCAAGGAGUCGAACAUUUGUGCGAGUGUUUGGGUGUCAAACCCUCACGCGUAAUGAAGGUGAACGUAGGUGAGAGCCCUCGCGGGCGCAUCAUCGACCGAUCCUGAUGUCUUCGGAUGGAUUUGAGUAAGAGCAUAACUGUUCGGACCCGAAAGAUGGUGAACUAUGCGUGGAUAGGGUGAAGCCAGAGGAAACUCUGGUGGAGGCUCGCAGCGGUUCUGACGUGCAAAUCGAUCGUCAAAUCUGCGCAUGGGGGCGAAAGACUAUCGA